Molecule: ribosomal RNA, 285 nt
Filed under: uncultured bacterium
Lineage: Bacteria
Description: partial 16S ribosomal RNA
Rfam family: Bacterial small subunit ribosomal RNA
Source: RNAcentral
GUAUCCUACGGGGGGCAGCAGUGGGGGAUAUUGCACAAUGGGGGGAACCCUGAUGCAGCGACGCCGCGUGGGUGAAGAAGCCCCUCGGCGCGUAAAGCCCUGUCAGCAGGGAAGAAAAUGACGGUACCUGAAGAAGAAGCCCCGGCUAACUACGUGCCAGCAGCCGCGGUAAUACGUAGGGGGCAAGCGUUAUCCGGAUUUACUGGGUGUAAAGGGGGCGCAGCCGGCGAUGCAAGCCAGGAGUGAAAGCCCGGGGCCCAACCCCGGGACUGCUCUUGGAACUGC